RNAcentral lists this ribosomal RNA (467 nucleotides) under uncultured bacterium. RNAcentral describes it as "partial 16S ribosomal RNA". It matches the Rfam family "Bacterial small subunit ribosomal RNA", at positions 29 to 507 of the family's 1533-position model. The record is from RNAcentral.
ACGAACGCUGGCGGCGUGCUUAACACAUGCAAGUCGUACGGAAAGGCCCUGCUUUUGUGGGGUGCUUGAGUGGCGAACGGGUGAGUAACACGUGAGUAACCUGCCCUUGACUUUGGGAUAACUUCAGGAAACUGGGGCUAAUACCGGAUAGGAGCUCCUGCGGCCUGGUGGGGGUUGGAAAGUUUCGGCGGUUGGGGAUGGACUCGCGGCUUAUCAGCUUGUUGGUGGGGUAGUGGCUUACCAAGGCUUUGCCGGGUAGCCGGCCUGAGAGGGUGACCGGCCACAUUGGGACUGCGAUACGGCCCAGACUCCUACGGGGGGCAGCCGUGGGGAAUAUUGCACAAUGGGCGGAAGCCUGAUGCAGCAACGCCGCGUGCGGGAUGACGGCCUUCGGGUUGUAAACCGCUUUCGCCUGUGACGAAGCGUGAGUGACGGUAAUGGGUAAAGAAGCACCGGCUAACUACGUG